Molecule: ribosomal RNA, 253 nt
Filed under: uncultured bacterium
Lineage: Bacteria
Description: partial 16S ribosomal RNA
Rfam family: Bacterial small subunit ribosomal RNA
Source: RNAcentral
GACGGAGAGAGCUAGUGUUACUCAAAUUAACUGGGCGUAAAGGGCGCGUAGAUAACUUUUUAAGUUAAUAGUUAAAGAUUAAAUCAAAAAGGUUUUUAAAAUUAUUAAUACUGAUUAGAUAGAGUUUUGGAGAGGGUAGCAGUACUUUUAAAGGAGAGGUAACAUUCUACGAUAAUAAAAGGACUACCGGUUGCGAAGGCGGCUACCUGGACAAAACUGACAUUGAGGCGCGAAAGCGUGGGGAGCAAACAGA